GCCUGGCUGGCUCAGUUGGUGGAGCAUGUGACUCUUGAUCUCGGGCUUGUGAGUUCAAGCCUCACAUUGGGUG
This 73-nucleotide transfer RNA is filed under the name Ailuropoda melanoleuca (giant panda). It matches the Rfam family "tRNA". From Rfam's summary of the family: Transfer RNA (tRNA) molecules are approximately 80 nucleotides in length. Their secondary structure includes four short double-helical elements and three loops (D, anti-codon, and T loops). Lineage: Eukaryota; Metazoa; Chordata; Mammalia; Carnivora; Ursidae. The record is from Rfam by way of RNAcentral.